GAUGAAGAACGUAGCGAAAUGCGAUAAGUAAUGCGAAUUGCAGAAUUUCCGUGAGUCAUCGAAUCUUUGAACGCACAUUGCGCCCGCCAGCAUUCUGGCGGGCAUGCCUGUUCGAGCGUCAUUUCAACCCUCGAGCCCCCCCGGGGGCCUCGGUGUUGGGGGACGGCACACCAGCCGCCCCCGAAAUGCAGUGGCGACCCCGCCGCAGCCUCCCCUGCGUAGUAGCACACACCUCGCACCGGAGCGCGGAGGCGGUCACGCCGUAAAACGCCCAACUUUCUUAGAGUUGACCUCGGAUCAGGUAGGAAUACCCGCUGAACUUAAGCAUAUCAACGGAGGA
Molecule: unclassified non-coding RNA, 340 nt
Filed under: soil metagenome
Description: partial contains 5.8S ribosomal RNA, internal transcribed spacer 2, and large subunit ribosomal RNA
Rfam family: 5.8S ribosomal RNA (bases 1-121)
Source: RNAcentral